GUUCCGUCCCCCUACGUUACCCGCGGCUGGAUGCGAGAUGGCCGACUGAGUUGAGAGCACUGGACCAGGCCACGCUGCAACUGCCUCCACGGCGAUGGGACUGAGAGCGUCAAGGAGAUUACAGACUGAAGAAGGCCAAGCAAAAAUAGCAGUUGUCUUCUCCCACAAAACAGCAAAACAGUACCAGACAAGAUGUCGAAAUUACAGGUUGAAGGCUGUAGUCACUGUAAUGAUUUUGUCAUGAGUCUCACUACACUUGAUUUGGCAACAUUUUUGCUCAUUCAUUUUGUUGUUGUUGUUGUUGUUUUGUUCGUUUGUUUUCUGAAGCCUUAGCUGUCAGAAUCUGUAGUUGAUCUCCAGUCAUCACCUAACAACAACAACAAAAAUAUAUUUGCAGAAUGACUCUAUAACUGAGCCUUACAGGCAACCAAAAAUCACACAGAACUUAUAUUUUGUAAAUAAAAAUAUGGUUGUAGAAAAAUUCUUAGUAUUUUGAGGUUUAUAAGGAUUGCAGGUACUUCAAGCAACAUAAAUAUACAUGUCAUUACUGUAACAGGUAAAGCCUUGUUUGUUCAUUAAAUGUUGCUGAUAGGGGGGUUUCAACAGUUGACUGCUUAUAUCCCCAAUAUUCUGUUGAAGGAAAAAAAACAAGUAUGGGAACUUCCUGUUAAGUUAACAAUUGCAAUAGAAACCAGCUCCAAAUAAGGGCAAAAUGGCAUUCCUCCUUGCAUGGGAACACACACACCGCAGCAAAGACAUGACCCCAACGCAGAGGAAGAUGACGAUCUUCAUCCCCACGACCACCAGAGGACUGAUGAAGACCCCCUAGCAACAGGCCGCGCAGUCGUAGAAGACACCAGGAUGUGCUACUAAACCCGGAACUACUAGGCUAUAAAUCGAGACUCUGGCGGGCUUAGGUGUGUGCCGUUGGCUGAGCAGGAGACUCCCCGGCCACCCAGCGCUGUUUUAUUUAUCGCUGCUUGCUGAAUUGCUCAAAUAAAUUGAAAUUCGAUCUACCC
Long non-coding RNA from Cygnus atratus (black swan), 1019 nucleotides. RefSeq lists it as uncharacterized. The transcript is spliced from 2 exons. Lineage: Eukaryota; Metazoa; Chordata; Aves; Anseriformes; Anatidae. The record is from RefSeq and is a predicted model, not a curated record.